GCAUGGUUGGUUUAGUGGCAUAAUUACCGCCUGCCAUUUCAGGCCGGGUCGCGGUAGACCCGGGUUCGAUUCCCGGACCAUGCA
This 84-nucleotide transfer RNA is filed under the name Blyttiomyces helicus. It matches the Rfam family "tRNA". From Rfam's summary of the family: Transfer RNA (tRNA) molecules are approximately 80 nucleotides in length. Their secondary structure includes four short double-helical elements and three loops (D, anti-codon, and T loops). The record is from Rfam by way of RNAcentral. Lineage: Eukaryota; Fungi; Chytridiomycota; Chytridiomycetes.